ACUGCAAGCUGCGCUAUCGUUCCGUUUUUCGGGAAGGAAAGUCCGGACAGCACAGGGCAACGCACCACCUAACGGGUGGGUACCUUCCGGGGUAACAGAAAGUGCCACAGAAAAUAACUGCCGAUCAUGCACUGCAUGAGGUGAGGGUGAAAACGUAGGGUAAGAGCCUACGGGUGCGGUUGGUAACAGCCGUUCGGGGUAAACCUUGCGUGCUGAAAUGCCAAAUAUAUCCCGCCUAUUGGGCUGCCCGUCCAGGUUUCGUGCAAACGGACGGCGGGAGUGGGUAGGCAGAUAGAGGUAGUCAGCGAUGGCUAUCCCAGAUAAAUGAUAGCACUUCGACAAGCUCAGUGUAGACUAGCUAACGAAGACAGAAUCCGGCUUACAGGCUUGCAGUUUUU
Molecule: RNase P RNA, 398 nt
Filed under: Flavisolibacter longurius
Lineage: Bacteria; Pseudomonadati; Bacteroidota; Chitinophagia; Chitinophagales; Chitinophagaceae
Description: Flavisolibacter sp. BT320 RNase P RNA component class A
Rfam family: Bacterial RNase P class A
About the family: Ribonuclease P (RNase P) is a ubiquitous endoribonuclease, found in archaea, bacteria and eukarya as well as chloroplasts and mitochondria. Its best characterised activity is the generation of mature 5'-ends of tRNAs by cleaving the 5'-leader elements of precursor-tRNAs.
Source: RNAcentral